RNAcentral lists this transfer RNA (54 nucleotides) under Amolops cremnobatus. Its description in RNAcentral is "tRNA-Val". Lineage: Eukaryota; Metazoa; Chordata; Amphibia; Anura; Ranidae. The record is from RNAcentral.
UAAAAGCCCCCCGCUUACACCGGGAAAAUAUUUGUUUAACCCAAAUCAUUUUGA